AGAGAAUUGCAGUGAAGAAGCCUGAAGAUGCAAGAGUGAGCGAGAAGGGAGGGAGUAUGAGAGUAGCCAAGGCAAAAGUUCUAGAGAGGAAAGAAUCCUUCUCUACACCCAAGUUCCACAUCAGCCCCACCGGAAUGAUCAUGGAAGGAGCUCAGCUCCACAUUAAGUGCACCAUUCAAGUGACUCACCUGGCCCAGGAGUUUCCAGAAAUCAUAAUUCAGAAGGACAAGGCGAUUGUGGCUCAUAGCAGACACAACAACGAGGCUGUGUACUCAGUCAUGGCCAUGGUGGAGCACAAUGGCAACUACACGUGCAAAGUGGAGUCCAGCCGCAUAUCCAAGGUCAGCAGCAUCGUCGUCAACAUAACAGAACUAUUUUCCAAGCCCGAACUGGAACCUUCCUUCACACGUCUGGACGAAGGUGAAAGACUGAACCUGUCCUGCUCCAUCCCAGGAGCACCUCCAGCCAACUUCACCAUCCA
Molecule: small RNA, 481 nt
Filed under: Pongo abelii (Sumatran orangutan)
Lineage: Eukaryota; Metazoa; Chordata; Mammalia; Primates; Hominidae
Description: processed transcript
Source: RNAcentral